This 28-nucleotide non-coding RNA is filed under the name Rattus norvegicus (Norway rat). The record is from RNAcentral. Lineage: Eukaryota; Metazoa; Chordata; Mammalia; Rodentia; Muridae.
UGCACAGGGACAGAUCACAAAGUGAACC